This 253-nucleotide ribosomal RNA is filed under the name uncultured bacterium. RNAcentral's name for it is "partial 16S ribosomal RNA". It matches the Rfam family "Bacterial small subunit ribosomal RNA", at positions 524 to 776 of the family's 1533-position model. The record is from RNAcentral.
UACAGAGGGGGCAAGCGUUGUUCGGAAUUACUGGGCGUAAAGGGCGCGUAGGCGGCCUGCUAAGUCGAACGUGAAAUCCCCGGGCUCAACCCGGGAACUGCGUCCGAUACUGGCAGGCUUGAAUCCGGGAGAGGGAUGUGGAAUUCCAGGUGUAGCGGUGAAAUGCGUAGAUAUCUGGAGGAACACCGGUGGCGAAGGCGGCAUCCUGGACCGGUAUUGACGCUGAUGCGCGAAAGCCAGGGGAGCGAACAGG